UGAGAAAAAGAGAUGUGUGGUUCACAUUCCCACAUUUCCAGUUCAUGGAAUCUUCUUCAGCGUCCAGUCUGGGAAGCAAUCCAGCUUCACACUUGCUACCUCUCUUUCUGAAUGUCCGUUCCCUUUUCUUGUGGAAUAUAAAAAACAAAAUGGCGAGUUCAGGUGUAGUGGUAUACUGUUCUCUUGUUUUCUCCAUUGUGUCCCUGUAUUAUUCCUUUUUGUUUCUUCUUUGAUGCCAAGCGAUGGGCCAGUAUUCAGGGAAAGGUUUUGUACACAAGUGUGUGUGUGUGUGUGUGUGUGUGUGUGUUUCAGCUUGUGUGUAUGUGCUUCAAACGAAAACAGCAAAAAGCAAUACCCAUUGCAGAUCAGAGUAACACAUCCUCCGUGCACGAUGUAGUUAAUGCACACUCACACUCACGCACACACACACACAUAUUAGAUGUUUUCUAAGAGAAUCAUUACAAAACAUGUACCAGCACAGAGCACACAGAUCUAGUCAUCUGCCAAGGCUUUGAUAACUAGCCUGACGUUCUUAAAAUGAAGAAGCCUUAUACUGUACAUGUAGUCUAUAUACAUACACACAGACUUAGAGAGAAAGAGAGGCGGAAAGGGAGUUGGGGUAGCGGGAGGGAAGGAAGGAUAGAUAGAGAUGGAGAGAGAGAGAGAGAGAGAGAGAGAGAGAGAGAGAGAGGCAGUGCACCGAAACGAGUGGAGUCUAUUCUCCAUAUGCACCUAUAAAAACACUUAGUAUUUACAUGAGUGUUGAGAUUAAUGUACUGUGGCAUACUGUCCCCUAUGGAUUCACACACCCACACCCACACACACACACACUCACACACACACACACAUACCCACCCACACAUACACACACACACACACACACACACUCACUCAGACAAGGCAAGUAGACAUCACAGGAUGAUAGCGAACAAACAUAAGAAAUCCCUUUCAAAACACACACACACACUACUCUAUGUGUUUUUCUGCUUCAUGAGUGUAUACAUAGACCAGCAACUAGGUGAUCUGUGUCGUCUAACUAGUUCAGUCGCACACACACACACACACACACACUCUCUCUCUCUCUGACAGAUUCACACACAGCAUAACAUACACAAAGAGUGAAUGGCUCAUAUUGUCUAUGGCUGUAGCUGUAGAGGGAAUGGCUUGUGUAUAUGUGUUUGGUUUGUUUCUUCCAGGGCUGUGGUUAUUGGCAGUGUUGGGGCCUGACAGUGGUGGGGCUGUUGGGGUAGCAUUAGCAGAGCUUAACAGGAUGCUUAAUCGAUUACAGAGGUGAAAUUAGAUUUCGAGGGUGGUUGGAGUGGGGGGGGGGGGG
Molecule: long non-coding RNA, 1333 nt
Organism: Clupea harengus (Atlantic herring)
Lineage: Eukaryota; Metazoa; Chordata; Actinopteri; Clupeiformes; Clupeidae
Source: Ensembl